GGGGAAUAUUGGACAAUGGGCGCAAGCCUGAUCCAGCCAUGCCGCGUGAGUGAUGAAGGCCUUAGGGUUGUAAAGCUCUUUCACCGGAGAAGAUAAUGACGGUAUCCGGAGAAGAAGCCCCGGCUAACUUCGUGCCAGCAGCCGCGGUAAUACGAAGGGGGCUAGCGUUGUUCGGAAUUACUGGGCGUAAAGCGCACGUAGGCGGACAUUUAAGUCAGGGGUGAAAUCCCGGGGCUCAACCCCGGAACUGCCUUUGAUACUGGAUGUCUUGAGUGUGGAAGAGGUAAGUGGAAUUGCGAGUGUAGAGGUGAAAUUCGUAGAUAUUCGCAGGAACACCAGUGGCGAAGGCGGCUUACUGGUCCAUUACUGACGCUGAGGUGCGAAAGCGUGGGGAGCAAAC
Molecule: ribosomal RNA, 400 nt
Filed under: uncultured bacterium
Lineage: Bacteria
Description: bacterial SSU rRNA
Rfam family: Bacterial small subunit ribosomal RNA
Source: RNAcentral